UACGGGAGGCAGCAGUAGGGGAAUCUUCCGCAAUGGACGAAAGUCUGACGGAGCAACGCCGCGUGAACGAUGAAGGCUUUCGGGUCGUAAAGUUCUGUUGUUAGGGAAGAACAAGUACCAGAGUAACUGCUGGUACCUUGACGGUACCUAACCAGAAAGCCACGGCUAACUACGUGCCAGCAGCCGCGGUAAUACGUAGGUGGCAAGCGUUGUCCGGAAUUAUUGGGCGUAAAGCGCGCGCAGGUGGUCCUUUAAGUCUGAUGUGAAAGCCCACGGCUCAACCGUGGAGGGUCAUUGGAAACUGGGGACUUGAGUGCAGAAGAGGAAAGUGGAAUUCCACGUGUAGCGGUGAAAUGCGUAGAGAUGUGGAGGAACACCAGUGGCGAAGGCGACUUUUCUGGUCUGUAACUGACACUGAGGCGCGAAAGCGUGGGGAGCGAACAGGGAUUAGAUACC
This 456-nucleotide ribosomal RNA is filed under the name uncultured bacterium. RNAcentral's name for it is "bacterial SSU rRNA". It matches the Rfam family "Bacterial small subunit ribosomal RNA", at positions 340 to 786 of the family's 1533-position model. The record is from RNAcentral.